GAAUACAAUUACAAUGGGAAUGGAUACUAAAUUCUAGGGCUGGUCCGAAUACCAUUUUUUGAGCUUCGAAGCUUCGGUAGUAAUGAGCAUCG
This is a long non-coding RNA of Sander lucioperca (pikeperch), 92 nucleotides long. RefSeq lists it as uncharacterized. The transcript is spliced from 3 exons. The record is from RefSeq and is a predicted model, not a curated record. NCBI's taxonomy places the organism in Eukaryota, Metazoa, Chordata, Actinopteri, Perciformes, Percidae.